RNAcentral lists this ribosomal RNA (546 nucleotides) under uncultured bacterium. RNAcentral describes it as "bacterial SSU rRNA". It matches the Rfam family "Bacterial small subunit ribosomal RNA", at positions 369 to 907 of the family's 1533-position model. The record is from RNAcentral.
UACUGCACGACGUCUGACGGAGCACGCCGCGUGAGUGAAGAAGGCCUUCGGGUCGUAAAACUCUGUUGCCGGGGAAGAACAAGUGCCGUUCGAACAGGGCGGCGCCUUGACGGUACCCGGCCAGAAAGCCACGGCUAACUACGUGCCAGCAGCCGCGGUAAUACGUAGGUGGCAAGCGUUGUCCGGAAUUAUUGGGCGUAAAGCGCGCGCAGGCGGCUUCUUAAGUCUGAUGUGAAAUCUUGCGGCUCAACCGCAAGCGGUCAUUGGAAACUGGGAGGCUUGAGUGCAGAAGAGGAGAGUGGAAUUCCACGUGUAGCGGUGAAAUGCGUAGAGAUGUGGAGGAACACCAGUGGCGAAGGCGGCUCUCUGGUCUGUAACUGACGCUGAGGCGCGAAAGCGUGGGGAGCAAACAGGAUUAGAUACCCUGGUAGUCCACGCCGUAAACGAUGAGUGCUAAGUGUUAGAGGGUUUCCGCCCUUUAGUGCUGCAGCUAACGCAUUAAGCACUCCGCCUGGGGAGUACGGCCGCAAGGCUGAAACUCAAAAA